UAAGUUAUUAAGGGCGCACGGUGGAUGCCUUGGCACUAGAAGCCGAUGAAGGACGUUACUAACGACGAUAUGCUUUGGGGAGCUGUAAGUAAGCUUUGAUCCAGAGAUUUCCGAAUGGGGAAACCCAGCAUGAGUUAUGUCAUGUUAUCGAUAUGUGAAUACAUAGCAUAUCAGAAGGCACACCCGGAGAACUGAAACAUCUUAGUACCCGGAGGAAGAGAAAGAAAAUUCGAUUCCCUUAGUAGCGGCGAGCGAAACGGGAAGAGCCCAAACCAACAAGCUUGCUUGUUGGGGUUGUAGGACACUCUAUACGGAGUUACAAAGGACGACAUUAGACGAAUCAUCUGGAAAGAUGAAUCAAAGAAGGUAAUAAUCCUGUAGUCGAAAAUGUUGUCUCUCUUGAGUGGAUCCUGAGUACGACGGAGCACGUGAAAUUCCGUCGGAAUCUGGGAGGACCAUCUCCUAAGGCUAAAUACUCUCUAGUGACCGAUAGUGAACCAGUACCGUGAGGGAAAGGUGAAAAGCACCCCGGAAGGGGAGUGAAAUAGAACCUGAAACCGUGUGCUUACAAGUAGUCAGAGCCCGUUAAUGGGUGAUGGCGUGCCUUUUGUAGAAUGAACCGGCGAGUUACGAUUUGAUGCAAGGUUAAGCAGUAAAUGUGGAGCCGUAGCGAAAGCGAGUCUGAAUAGGGCGUUUAGUAUUUGGUCGUAGACCCGAAACCAGGUGAUCUACCCUUGGUCAGGUUGAAGUUCAGGUAACACUGAAUGGAGGACCGAACCGACUUACGUUGAAAAGUGAGCGGAUGAACUGAGGGUAGCGGAGAAAUUCCAAUCGAACCUGGAGAUAGCUGGUUCUCUCCGAAAUAGCUUUAGGGCUAGCCUCAAGUGAUGAUUAUUGGAGGUAGAGCACUGUUUGGACGAGGGGCCCCUUCUCGGGUUACCGAAUUCAGACAAACUCCGAAUGCCAAUUAAUUUAACUUGGGAGUCAGAACAUGGGUGAUAAGGUCCGUGUUCGAAAGGGAACAGCCCAGACCACCAGCUAAGGUCCCAAAAUAUAUGUUAAGUGGAAAAGGAUGUGGCGUUGCCCAGACAACUAGGAUGUUGGCUUAGAAGCAGCCAUCAUUUAAAGAGUGCGUAAUAGCUCACUAGUCGAGUGACACUGCGCCGAAAAUGUACCGGGGCUAAACAUAUUACCGAAGCUGUGGAUUGUCCUUUGGACAAUGGUAGGAGAGCGUUCUAAGGGCGUUGAAGCAUGAUCGUAAGGACAUGUGGAGCGCUUAGAAGUGAGAAUGCCGGUGUGAGUAGCGAAAGACGGGUGAGAAUCCCGUCCACCGAUUGACUAAGGUUUCCAGAGGAAGGCUCGUCCGCUCUGGGUUAGUCGGGUCCUAAGCUGAGGCCGACAGGCGUAGGCGAUGGAUAACAGGUUGAUAUUCCUGUACCACCUAUAAUCGUUUUAAUCGAUGGGGGGACGCAGUAGGAUAGGCGAAGCGUGCGAUUGGAUUGCACGUCUAAGCAGUAAGGCUGAGUAUUAGGCAAAUCCGGUACUCAUUAAGGCUGAGCUGUGAUGGGGAGAAGACAUUGUGUCUUCGAGUCGUUGAUUUCACACUGCCGAGAAAAGCCUCUAGAUAGAAAAUAGGUGCCCGUACCGCAAACCGACACAGGUAGUCAAGAUGAGAAUUCUAAGGUGAGCGAGCGAACUCUCGUUAAGGAACUCGGCAAAAUGACCCCGUAACUUCGGGAGAAGGGGUGCUCUUUAGGGUUAACGCCCAGAAGAGCCGCAGUGAAUAGGCCCAAGCGACUGUUUAUCAAAAACACAGGUCUCUGCUAAACCGUAAGGUGAUGUAUAGGGGCUGACGCCUGCCCGGUGCUGGAAGGUUAAGAGGAGUGGUUAGCUUCUGCGAAGCUACGAAUCGAAGCCCCAGUAAACGGCGGCCGUAACUAUAACGGUCCUAAGGUAGCGAAAUUCCUUGUCGGGUAAGUUCCGACCCGCACGAAAGGCGUAACGAUUUGGGCACUGUCUCAACGAGAGACUCGGUGAAAUCAUAGUACCUGUGAAGAUGCAGGUUACCCGCGACAGGACGGAAAGACCCCGUGGAGCUUUACUGUAGCCUGAUAUUGAAAUUCGGCACAGCUUGUACAGGAUAGGUAGGAGCCUUUGAAACGUGAGCGCUAGCUUACGUGGAGGCGCUGGUGGGAUACUACCCUAGCUGUGUUGGCUUUCUAACCCGCACCACUUAUCGUGGUGGGAGACAGUGUCAGGCGGGCAGUUUGACUGGGGCGGUCGCCUCCUAAAAGGUAACGGAGGCGCUCAAAGGUUCCCUCAGAAUGGUUGGAAAUCAUUCAUAGAGUGUAAAGGCAUAAGGGAGCUUGACUGCGAGACCUACAAGUCGAGCAGGGUCGAAAGACGGACUUAGUGAUCCGGUGGUUCCGCAUGGAAGGGCCAUCGCUCAACGGAUAAAAGCUACCCCGGGGAUAACAGGCUUAUCUCCCCCAAGAGUUCACAUCGACGGGGAGGUUUGGCACCUCGAUGUCGGCUCAUCGCAUCCUGGGGCUGUAGUCGGUCCCAAGGGUUGGGCUGUUCGCCCAUUAAAGCGGUACGCGAGCUGGGUUCAGAACGUCGUGAGACAGUUCGGUCCCUAUCCGUCGUGGGCGUAGGAAAUUUGAGAGGAGCUGUCCUUAGUACGAGAGGACCGGGAUGGACAUACCUCUGGUGUACCAGUUGUCGUGCCAACGGCAUAGCUGGGUAGCUAUGUGUGGACGGGAUAAGUGCUGAAAGCAUCUAAGCAUGAAGCCCCCCUCAAGAUGAGAUUUCCCAACUUCGGUUAUAAGAUCCCUCAAAGAUGAUGAGGUUAAUAGGUUCGAGGUGGAAGCAUGGUGACAUGUGGAGCUGACGAAUACUAAUCGAUCGAAGACUUAAUCA
RNAcentral lists this ribosomal RNA (2919 nucleotides) under Staphylococcus aureus subsp. aureus CIG149. RNAcentral describes it as "bacterial LSU rRNA". It matches the Rfam family "Bacterial large subunit ribosomal RNA". The record is from RNAcentral. Lineage: Bacteria; Bacillati; Bacillota; Bacilli; Caryophanales; Staphylococcaceae.